RNAcentral lists this ribosomal RNA (422 nucleotides) under uncultured prokaryote. RNAcentral's name for it is "bacterial SSU rRNA". It matches the Rfam family "Bacterial small subunit ribosomal RNA", at positions 355 to 774 of the family's 1533-position model. The record is from RNAcentral.
UGAGGAAUAUUGGUCAAUGGGCGAGAGCCUGAACCAGCCAAGUAGCGUGAAGGAUGAAGGUCCUACGGAUUGUAAACUUCUUUUAUACGGGAAUAAAGUUUCCUACGAGUAGGAUUUUGUAUGUACCGUAUGAAUAAGAAUCGGCUAACUCCGUGCCAGCACCCGCGGUAAUACGGAGGAUUCGAGCGUUAUCCGGAUUUAUUGGGUUUAAAGGGAUCGCAGACGGGAGAUUAAGUCAGUUGUGAAAGUUUGCGGCUCAACCGUAAAAUUGCAGUUGAUACUGGUUUCCUUGAGUGCAGUUGAGGCAGGCGGAAUUCGUGGUGUAGCGGUGAAAUGCUUAGAUAUCACGUAGAACCCCGAGUGCGAAGGCAGCUUGCUUAACUGUAACUGACGUUCAUGCUCGAAAGUGUGGGUAUCAAACA